Bombus pyrosoma is the source of this 2661-nucleotide RNA transcript. RefSeq lists it as uncharacterized. The transcript has 3 exons. NCBI's taxonomy places the organism in Eukaryota, Metazoa, Arthropoda, Insecta, Hymenoptera, Apidae. The record is from RefSeq and is a predicted model, not a curated record.
UAGACGUAUUACGAGGUUCUCGCGCGAUUUUCCAACUGCUCGUCGAAUGUUGCGACGCUGUUGCACGAGCUGACUGCUACUGCCCAUGGGAAAAUUAAGCGCACCGAAUAAGUUUCUAUCUCUCGACCGAGCCGCGCCUCGUUGAAAGUUCCUCAUAAUUAGCUUCAGCAGCGGGCAGAGCCUCUUCAACAAAACCAGAUCAUUUGCUCGUUCGUCUAUUCUGGACCAGCGGCAGAGGGAACUGAUCUGGAGUAUAUCUGGUCGUGUCUGUGUUCACGGUGUUCGGUGAAUCGUUGGCGCGAGUUCCUUUAUGGCUGGAAGUGUUCGUGCAUGCAAGAUUCGGACCAGUAUUCCAACAAAGUGUUCUAGCGUUUAAUGUUUGCGCUCGCUGCACCAGAUGUGUCGCACAUAUACCUAUGUCUACGUAGGUAUACAUGUAUAGUGGACGUUUAUACCGUGCCAAUGCUUUUUGCAUGUGAAGACUAGAAAAGAAUGUAAUAUAGGGCGAUGCAAUUGGGACGCGACAUAUCUUUCGCAUGGUUGAACGUGGGAAAACAACGGAGAAAAAGAAGGCGAGUUCCUACAAAGUUUAUGUCCCUAUGACUACGCUCUUUCCUGUAAGUGCAACCAUGUACGCUAUAGUAACCGUAAGUAAAAAGCGUUAGAAUAAUAUAUUCGAUAAACGAAUACGUUACUAAAUAUUUAAAGUGUCGUAUGAAGCUAGAAAGUUAAAGCUUUUCGUAGUAAAUUAAAGUUAUUUUCAUUGAGUUUGUAGUAAAUUAACAUAAGAAGCAGCUUGCAACCACCAUUCUUACACCAACUAUCAAGGCAACCGUUUAUGAGAUAUCGCUGAAACAUUGAUAUUCAAGAGAAAUUAGGUAUAUUAUCUUUCAUAAUAACAUCGUUAAACAGAAGCUAUAUCCAAGAACGUCGACAAACGAUAGAAAUGAAGAAAGAAGAAAUAAAUUUGUAGAAAAAAUACAAGUUGGAAAUGUUUGCUCGUUAAACAUUCCGAAGAAUUUUAUCUGAAGUAUAUAAAUAUGUAAAACGCGCUAACAAAAGAGUCUUCAAUGAAAUUGCAAAAACGUCGAACGAUUUACAUCAUAUUCUUUUGAUAUCGUGGAUCUCCAAAUUCAUUAAACAUCGUUAUAUACGCAUCCAUGAGCAUGCAUAUAACAUGCGGCGCAAGCUUAUGGUCUUUGCAAAAUUUAGUAGCAAUUAUGCACGCACGAUUAAAGCGGCAAUUUUCUGAGAAAGAGACAAGUGUUUCCUGUUCUGGACUGUCUCGACUUCCUGCGCCCAUUAUUCCAGACAUUAUGAGAAUAAACUUCCGGUCGAUAUGCGUUUACUUCCGUGUCUCUCGCUGAUCCCUCUUUCGUUGCAUAGAGAAGGACAAAAAAAGCGAAUGGCGAGCGGUGGGCGAGAGAUGGGAAGAGAAAAGGUGAGCUGAAACGCGCGCGCCAGAAUAUUUCUGCGGCAAUUAUGCAUGCAGCAUUCAUAAAGAGGAGAUUUUUUUUUUCUAAAGCGCCAAAGAACGGCCUCGUGUACCUGGAUAAUUUGAUUUCCGGUUCCAUUGUUAUCGUUUAAACGCAAGGCCGUGGUCGGCGAUUAUUCAAUCGCGAGAAGAAAGUAUAACUAUUUCGCGGAGAGUUGGAAAGUUUUGGUAUUCUUGUCAUUAAUGCAGGAAACGGAAGAGAAGGAAACUUCGUUUUAUAGUAUUUUAAAUUUUUACCGAUCGAUCCGAUCAGACCGUUUCUGACCAAGCGAAAUCAACGGAUUAAAAGAGAACCGAUUCGAAAUACGCGAUACACGCGCGUGUUCUCCGACGGAAGGUGCCAUUUGUGGUUGCGGUUGUCACAGAAUUUCGUGAAAAUCGUGUACCAGCCGAUUGUCGCGACGAGUUAAUCACGAAGGACAAAUGAACGUAUUGCCGCUGAGCCACGAUGACGCGAAGUGCACGUGAAACGUGAAAAUGUUGCGUUCUACUUGUAAAUGUGACACCUUCGGAAAUAUCGAUGCUUAUAAUAGCGUUUAAAAUUUCGCGCGUGCAUUUUUAUUAAGCAAAACAGUCUUUCUGUGAUUCGUACGAUUAUUCAAUUCGAGAAAGAAAGAUACAAAAUGCAAGUAUACGUGAAAGAAUGUGUGUGUGUGUACUCUACAUAUUGCAGACCCAUGUGGAUGUACACAUUAUACAGACUAUUAUACCAGGUUUGUCCAGCUAGAAUAUUAUGAUUAUAUUCAAAUAACAGUUGUAUACAAAAGUCGUAUACACAUAAAGAAACGCAUAACAUGCCUUAUAAAAGUUGCGGAAAGAAAUGUAAAUAGAAUUUAAAGUCAGCGAGGCAAAACCAUAGAUGCCAGAGCAACGUUCCGUUAAAAAAAAAAUCGCAAAAUUGUUAAAAAGUAGUGCGUGACAUAAUUGCGAAAUGCAAUAUUUGACAUAUCGUUAGCUUCAUUACAGUAAAGGUUGAAUUUAACGUGUUCGUUAUUUGAAAACGUUUAAUAACCGCUUCGUAAUUACAAUUAAUUGCUAUACCGUACAUCCCGCUCGAUAUUUUCAAUUGUUUGCUUAUUAACUAAAUUUGAUGUUUGUCGUACAGGGCAAAUAGUCUGCAAAAAUAUGAAUAACCUGUAAUUCAUAAUAAAACAAUAUUCAAAGUA